AGCAGUAGCCGCGGGAACACAGAGGGUGCGAGCGUUAAUCGGAUUUACUGGGCGUAAAGCGUGCGUAGGCGGCUAAUUGAGUCGGAUGUGAAAUCCCCGAGCUUAACUUGGGAAUUGCAUUCGAUACUGGUUAGCUAGAGUGUGGGAGAGGAUGGUAGAAUUCCAGGUGUAGCGGUGAAAUGCGUAGAGAUCUGGAGGAAUACCGAUGGCGAAGGCAGCCAUCUGGCCUAAUACUGACGCUGAGGUACGAAAGCAUGGGGAGCAAACAGGAUUAGAUACCCCAGUAGUCCCUGUCUCUUAUAU
This 303-nucleotide ribosomal RNA is filed under the name uncultured bacterium. Its description in RNAcentral is "partial 16S ribosomal RNA". It matches the Rfam family "Bacterial small subunit ribosomal RNA", at positions 507 to 809 of the family's 1533-position model. The record is from RNAcentral.